ACUCGCUGGAGGGCAGGAGAGCAGCGAGCGAAGCUAUCUGAGAGGACCGGAGGCCGGGGGGUGUGGCCAGCAGGUGUGUCCUCCAGUUGAAGGUCGUUGGGGUCAAUCGGGAGGAGCUUCAGGAGGAGCAGAAAGAAAAGAGGAGAUCAUGCUAGAUUUUAUUAUAGUACCAAAAAGAAAGUUGGGAAAUUUGAAUGUUCCUUUCCUUUGUUGAUGUUCUGCUGUUGGACUCCAUUCACCUGCUUCUUCACUCCCAGCGUCUGUUUGGAGAAUUCUCAGGUUUACAUCCAUGAAUCCCCUCAGUCCCGUGGAACCAUCUACCUGGAUUUCCCAAGGCUCCCUCACCUGCCUGUCCACCCUCCCACAUUCACCGCUCUGAAUGUUGGAGCGCUGAAUGUUUCACAGCUCUGCAACUACAAGCAGGAAACAGGACACCAUAAAACUAACCGCCCGCCUCCCCCGCCCCCAUCUUCAGCUACUGUGAUUAUACUCACCUCUUCACCGUCUUCUCCUCUGCCAGUAACAAACUUUCUUUCACUUCAUUAUAAAACCUCAACCUCAAUCAUCAGAUGGCCAUCCAGGAACACAACCAUUAACCUGGAAGAAUCUUCUCACUGUACACAUUUACUACUAAACCUUCCAAACCAUCUCUGGGUGUCUGUGACUGCAA
This is a long non-coding RNA of Xiphophorus maculatus (southern platyfish), 670 nucleotides long. RefSeq lists it as uncharacterized. The record is from RefSeq and is a predicted model, not a curated record. The transcript has 3 exons. Lineage: Eukaryota; Metazoa; Chordata; Actinopteri; Cyprinodontiformes; Poeciliidae.